Molecule: ribosomal RNA, 182 nt
Filed under: Escherichia coli
Lineage: Bacteria; Pseudomonadati; Pseudomonadota; Gammaproteobacteria; Enterobacterales; Enterobacteriaceae
Description: partial 16S ribosomal RNA
Rfam family: Bacterial small subunit ribosomal RNA
Source: RNAcentral
UUAAAUUGAAGAGUUUGAUCAUGGCUCAGAUUGAACGCUGGCGGCAGGCCUAACACAUGCAAGUCGAACGGUAACAGGAAACAGCUUGCUGUUUCGCUGACGAGUGGCGGACGGGUGAGUAAUGUCUGGGAAACUGCCUGAUGGAGGGGGAUAACUACUGGAAACGGUAGCUAAUACCGCAU